UGACUGCUAUCGGAUUGAUACUAAGCCAUGCGAGUCAUUGUAGCAAUACAAGGCAGACGGCUCAGUAACGCGUAGUCAACCUAACCUAUGGACGGGAAUAACCUCGGGAAACUGAGAAUAAUGCCCGAUAGAACACUAUACCUGGAAUGGUUUGUGUUCCAAAUGAUUUAUCGCCGUAGGAUGGGACUGCGGCCUAUCAGUUUGUUGGUGAGGUAAUGGCCCACCAAGACUAUUACAGGUACGGGCUCUGAGAGGAGUAGCCCGGAGAUGGGUACUGAGACACGGACCCAGGCCCUAUGGGGCGCAGCAGGCGAGAAAACUUUGCAAUGUGCGAAAGCACGGCAAGGUUAAUCCGAGUGGUUUCUGCUAAAGGAACCUUUUGUCGGUCCUAGAAACACCGAUGAAUAAGGGGUGGGCAAGUUCUGGUGUCAGCCGCCGCGGUAAAACCAGCACCUCAAGUGGUCAGGAUGAUUAUUGGGCCUAAAGCAUCCGUAGCCGGCGCUAUAAGUUUUCGGUUAAAUCUGUACGCUCAACGUACAGGCUGCCGGGAAUACUGUAGCGCUAGGGAGUGGGAGAGGUAGACGGUACUCGGUAGGAAGGGGUAAAAUCCUUUGAUCUAUUGAUGACCACCUGUGGCGAAGGCGGUCUACCAGAACACGUCCGACGGUGAGGGAUGAAAGCUGGGGGAGCAAACCGGAUUAGAUACCCGGGUAGUCCCAGCUGUAAACUAUGCAAACUCAGUGAUGCAUUGGCUUGUGGCCAAUGCAGUGCUGCAGGGAAGCCGUUAAGUUUGCCGCCUGGGAAGUACGUACGCAAGUAUGAAACU
This 826-nucleotide ribosomal RNA is filed under the name uncultured marine archaeon. Its description in RNAcentral is "bacterial SSU rRNA". It matches the Rfam family "Archaeal small subunit ribosomal RNA", at positions 24 to 856 of the family's 1478-position model. The record is from RNAcentral.